CCUUGUUUUCUUUCCCGUCGUUGGAAUUUGCAUCUGGUUACAGCAAUAUUACAUCCCUUCGGCACGAGAACUGGCACGAUUGGUUGGAGUAUGCAAAGCGCCAGUCAUUCAGCACUUUUCCGAAACAAUAUCCGGAUCAACGACUAUUAGAAGCUUUGAUCAAAAACACAAGUUCAAAUUCUGAUGUACAUUUGUCAUUGAUGAUUAUCUAGCUUUGAUGGAUGGUUUAGUUGAAGCAAUUCGACGUAACAUCAAAAGGGUAUAUGCUUUUACCAAUUCCCAAAUCUUAUUUGAUCAGAUUACAAAUGAGGAAGUGCCUGAGAAUCCACUUCUCAUGGCAUUGAGACAAAGAAUACUAGAACAUGUUAAAAAUCUUGAACAUUUGGUUCUAAAAUGUGUUCCUGAUGUCAAUCUCGAGCCUCCAUUGCACCUGGCGCGAGUGGCAAUUGGGGGCGUUCAUGAUGCCAAGAGCGAUCCAACUGUUGAAAAUUGUUUAAUAUGUUCAUGAUGGUCACACUGAAAUGCUCACACAAAUGCUGUCCCAUUGCUUGAAGGCUUAUGUUGAUGAAAAAGUUGGGCUAUCUGAGGUUUCCCAUUAGGUGCCUGAGCCCAAAAUGCAAAUAUUACAUUUCUGUCCCUGAACAUAAGUCUUUUCUUCCUGUUGGCUCUUUUAUGUCGUUACAGGAAGCUCUUUUGGAACCAAAUGCGUGUGCGGCUGACAAGUUUUACUGUCCUUUUGCUGACUGUGCGGUUCUUCUUGAUCCUAGACCUUCAUUAACCACGGGGGUCCCACGUACUCCAUCAAGUUCUAUUACGAAAAAGUCGAUUUCUGGUGGUUCUUUACUUAAAUCCGGUGCACGAUGGUGAAAGUCAAAACAUUAUUGCCUUGACUGUAACUUAAGAUAGUUUAGCAUUGCUUAUCUUUUUUAUUAUUUUUGUCGAGACAAAUCGAACACUUGUUCAUACCGUUUUAGUCAUAUUACGACUCUAUUUUUUGUUGUUUUCUCUUUUGUUUUGCUAACGGUACCGUAUUUGAUCGAAA
Helianthus annuus (common sunflower) is the source of this 1042-nucleotide long non-coding RNA. RefSeq lists it as uncharacterized. The transcript has 5 exons. The record is from RefSeq and is a predicted model, not a curated record. Lineage: Eukaryota; Viridiplantae; Streptophyta; Magnoliopsida; Asterales; Asteraceae.